UACGUAGGGACCGAGCGUUGUCCGGAAUCAUUGGGCGUAAAGCGCGUGUAGGCGGCCCGGUAAGUCCGCUGUGAAAGUCGGGGGCUCAACCCUCGGAUGCCGGUGGAUACUGUCGGGCUCGAGUACGGAAGAGGCGAGUGGAAUUCCUGGUGUAGCGGUGAAAUGCGCAGAUAUCAGGAGGAACACCAAUUGCGAAGGCAGCUCGCUGGGACGUAACUGACGCUGAGACGCGAAAGCGUGGGGAGCAAACAGG
RNAcentral lists this ribosomal RNA (253 nucleotides) under uncultured bacterium. Its description in RNAcentral is "partial 16S ribosomal RNA". It matches the Rfam family "Bacterial small subunit ribosomal RNA", at positions 524 to 776 of the family's 1533-position model. The record is from RNAcentral.